CCGCACGGGUGAGUAACACGUAUGCAAUCCACCUGUAACAGGGGGAGUAACCCGGAGAAAUCCGGACUAAUACCCCAUAAUAUGGGCGCUCCGCAUGGAGAGCCCAUUAAAGAGAGCAAUUUUGGUUACAGACGAGCAUGCGCUCCAUUAGCCAGUUGGCGGGGUAACGGCCCACCAAAGCGACGAUGGAUAGGGGUUCUGAGAGGAAGGUCCCCCACAUUGGAACUGAGACACGGUCCAA
RNAcentral lists this ribosomal RNA (241 nucleotides) under uncultured bacterium. RNAcentral's name for it is "partial 16S ribosomal RNA". It matches the Rfam family "Bacterial small subunit ribosomal RNA", at positions 98 to 334 of the family's 1533-position model. The record is from RNAcentral.